This 243-nucleotide unclassified non-coding RNA is filed under the name Teratosphaeriaceae sp. Its description in RNAcentral is "partial contains 5.8S ribosomal RNA, internal transcribed spacer 2, and large subunit ribosomal RNA". The record is from RNAcentral. Lineage: Eukaryota; Fungi; Ascomycota; Dothideomycetes; Mycosphaerellales; Teratosphaeriaceae.
CGCACAUUGCGCCCCUCGGUAUUCCGGGGGGCAUGCCUGUUCGAGCGUCAUUACACCACUCAAGCCUGGCUUGGUAUUGGACGUCGCGGUUCCACCGCGCGCCCUAAUGUCUCCGGCUGAGCCAUCCGUCUCGAAGCGUUGUGAUCAUUCAAAUCGCUUCCAGGCGCGGGUGACUCGGGCCGUCAAACCCCCAAACUUUUACAGGUUGACCUCGGAUCAGGUAGGGAUACCCGCUGAACUUAA